UACGUAGGGGGCCAGCGUUAUCCGGAAUUACUGGGCGUAAAGGGUGCGUAGGUGGUUUUUCAAGUCAGGAGUGAAAGGCUACGGCUCAACCGUAGUAAGCUCUUGAAACUGUAAAACUUGAGUGCAGGAGAGGAGAGUGGAAUUCCUAGUGUAGCGGUGAAAUGCGUAGAUAUUAGGAGGAACACCAGUUGCGAAGGCGGCUCUCUGGACUGUAACUGACACUGAGGCACGAAAGCGUGGGGAGCAAACAGG
RNAcentral lists this ribosomal RNA (252 nucleotides) under uncultured bacterium. Its description in RNAcentral is "partial 16S ribosomal RNA". It matches the Rfam family "Bacterial small subunit ribosomal RNA", at positions 524 to 776 of the family's 1533-position model. The record is from RNAcentral.